This 78-nucleotide transfer RNA is filed under the name Candidatus Bathyarchaeota archaeon. RNAcentral's name for it is "tRNA-Arg". It matches the Rfam family "tRNA". From Rfam's summary of the family: Transfer RNA (tRNA) molecules are approximately 80 nucleotides in length. Lineage: Archaea; Thermoproteati; Candidatus Bathyarchaeota. The record is from RNAcentral.
GAGCCUGUGGCCAAGUUAGGAUAAGGCACCGGACUUCUAAUCCGGAGAUCGAGGGUUCGAAUCCCCCCAGGCUCGCCA